This 63-nucleotide transfer RNA is filed under the name Anilius scytale (false coral snake). RNAcentral's name for it is "tRNA-Val". It matches the Rfam family "tRNA". Rfam says of the family: Transfer RNA (tRNA) molecules are approximately 80 nucleotides in length. Their secondary structure includes four short double-helical elements and three loops (D, anti-codon, and T loops). The record is from RNAcentral. Lineage: Eukaryota; Metazoa; Chordata; Lepidosauria; Squamata; Aniliidae.
CAAGAAGUAGCUUAUCCAAAGCACUCGACUUACAAUCGAGAGACGUCACCAUUAAACCUUCUU